AUGGUAGGCCAGGCGGUCGCCGACGCCGUGAUGGACCAAGCCGCGCUCUGCCUGCUCCUCCUCCGUCACCUUGGAAGCCUCGAUGAGGGAAUGCCCACGCCCACCACCAACCUCGCCUUCUCGCCGAUCUCCUUCCACGCAGUGCUCUCCCUCCUGGCCGCGGGUGCCUCCGGCGCCACGCGCGACCAGAUCGUCACCUUUCUCGGCCCCGCGGGCGCAGAGGCACACGCCGCGCUCGCGUCGAAGGUCGCAUCCUUCGUCCUCGCCGGGCGGGGGUUGGCCCAGGCCCACGGAGCCACCGGCGUCUGGGUCGACGCCUCGCUACGCCUCAGUCCUACGUUCGCCGACACGGCCGCCGCUGUCUACAAGGCCGACGCUCGAUCGGUGGACUUCAGCAACAAGCCCAGGGAGGCGAUGGCCGAGAUCAAUGAGUGGUUCGAGAGCAAAACACGCGGCCUCGUCAAGAACAUUGUCUCUGAGCGCGAUUGCGACGGCUCCACGGCGCUCGUCCUCGGCAACUCGGUCUUCUUCAGCGGCUACUGGAACUCCCCCUUCUUCCCAGGGGCCACCGAGGAAGGCAGGUUCUAUGUCAACGCCUCGCCGGAGGAUCACACUGUUCGCGUGCCGUUCAUGAAGGGGAGCCCGUUUCAGCAGAUCGGCGUCCACCCCGGCUUCAAGGUCCUGCGCAUGCCCUACCGCGGCGACUUUGGCGACAGCGACCCGUUGUUUGCCAUGUACAUCUACCUCCCCGACGACCGCGACGGCCUGCCGGCACUCGCGCGAACGCUCAGCGCCAGCCCCGCCGCGCUCCUGCACAGGUCGGUCGUGCCGGAGCAGCCCGUCCCGUUGGGCGAGCUCAAGAUCCCCAAGUUCGAGGUGUCGGUGAGGGUGGAGGCGUCGCGGAUGCUGCGUAACCUGGGGCUGGAGCUGCCGUUCCGUCGCUCCCGCGACUCGUUCUCGGAGAUGCUGAGCCCGCCGGCGCCUCCGGUGGCCGUCUCGUCCGUGGUCCACCAGUGCGUCGUCAAAGUCGAUGAGCGCGGGACCGUGGCCGCCGCAGGCACCGUGGCGAUGUCGGCGGGGUUUGGCAUGGUACGUGAUCGCCCUGUGGACUUCGUGGCAGAUCACCCUUUCGCCUUCUUCCUCAUGGAGGAUGUCAGUGGCGUGGUGGUAUUUGCAGGCCAUGUCGUCAAUCCUUUGAGCCACUGA
This 1206-nucleotide ribosomal RNA is filed under the name Triticum aestivum (bread wheat). Its description in RNAcentral is "partial small subunit ribosomal RNA". Lineage: Eukaryota; Viridiplantae; Streptophyta; Magnoliopsida; Poales; Poaceae. The record is from RNAcentral.